This 256-nucleotide long non-coding RNA is filed under the name Ananas comosus (pineapple). RNAcentral's name for it is "long non-coding RNA (ACOM_LNC025029)". The record is from RNAcentral. Lineage: Eukaryota; Viridiplantae; Streptophyta; Magnoliopsida; Poales; Bromeliaceae.
UAAAUGAAUGAUGAACAGGAAUAGGAACUAGAGAGGGAAGAGAACAGUUAUUAGGAUAGUUAAUUAGUGCGGAGAAAUGUGUAUAUUUUGAGGAUAGAAGCAUAUGUAUAUAAUUUAUAAGAUUAAGGCAGUUUGUAAAAUGAUGUAGAACAUAUAUAUGUGUGUGUGUGUGUGUGUGUGUGUGUGUGUGUGUGUGUGUGUGUGUGUGUGUUAAGAAUAAAUUAAUUAUUAGCAAGGAAGAAUUGGACAGAACAAA